Molecule: signal recognition particle RNA, 299 nt
Filed under: Aotus nancymaae (Ma's night monkey)
Lineage: Eukaryota; Metazoa; Chordata; Mammalia; Primates; Aotidae
Description: Metazoan signal recognition particle RNA (ENSANAG00000002883.1)
Rfam family: Metazoan signal recognition particle RNA
About the family: The signal recognition particle (SRP) is a universally conserved ribonucleoprotein. It is involved in the co-translational targeting of proteins to membranes.
Source: RNAcentral
GCUGGGUGCGGUGGCAUGUGCCUGUAGUCCCGGCUACUCGGGAGGCUGUGAUGGGAGGAUUGCUUGAGCCCAGGAGUUCUGGGCUGUAGUGCACUAUGCCGAUCAGGUGUCCGCACCAAGCUCAGCAUCAAUAUGGUGACCUCCCGGGACUGGGGGACCACCAGGUUGCCUAAGGAGGGGUGAACUGGCCCAGCUCGGAAACGGAGCAGGUCAAAACUCCCGUGCUGAUCAGUAGUAGGAUCGCGCCUGUGAAUAGCCAAUGCACUCCAGCCUGGACAACAGAGAGAGACCCCGUCUCA